UGUGUUGCAUAAAUUAUUGCUAUAUAUUCGUGAUGCGUGGAAUAAAUAAAUAACUUCGCCAUCACUCAAAUGCAUUGCCUUGUGUGGGUUGGUAAGUUCGUGAUUCAUUUACCUCAUAACAAGUAGCUGAUAUUUGCAGUUUGGGCAAGAAAACACCUCGAAGAACAAAAAAUGUCGACAAGGAGUGUUGAUGACCUAAAAUUGAAGGACAUAGUUGAUUUUGCGUAUCUUAGGAAAAGAAUAUGACCAGAACGCGAAUAAAACAGAAUUACUGCAAAUGCUGAAAGAUUUGCAAGAAGAGCAAAAUUCUGGUAGCGGA
Xenia sp. Carnegie-2017 is the source of this 319-nucleotide long non-coding RNA. RefSeq lists it as uncharacterized. Lineage: Eukaryota; Metazoa; Cnidaria; Anthozoa; Malacalcyonacea; Xeniidae. The record is from RefSeq and is a predicted model, not a curated record. The transcript has 2 exons.